GACGAACGCUGGCGGCGUGCCUAAUACAUGCAAGUCGAACGAACUCUGGUAUUGAUUGGUGCUUGCAUCAUGAUUUACAUUUGAGUGAGUGGCGAACUGGUGAGUAACACGUGGGAAACCUGCCCAGAAGCGGGGGAUAACACCUGGAAACAGAUGCUAAUACCGCAUAACAACUUGGACCGCAUGGUCCGAGUUUGAAAGAUGGCUUCGGCUAUCACUUUUGGAUGGUCCCGCGGCGUAUUAGCUAGAUGGUGAGGUAACGGCUCACCAUGGCAAUGAUACGUAGCCGACCUGAGAGGGUAAUCGGCCACAUUGGGACUGAGACACGGCCCAAACUCUACGGGAGGCAGCAGUAGGGAAUCUUCCACAAUGGACGAAAGUCUGAUGGAGCAACGCCGCGUGAGUGAAGAAGGGUUUCGGCUCGUAAAACUCUGUUGUUAAAGAAGAACAUAUCUGAGAGUAACUGUUCAGGUAUUGACGGUAUUUAACCAGAAAGCCACGGCUAACUACGUGCCAGCAGCCGCGGUAAUACGUAGGUGGCAAGCGUUGUCCGGAUUUAUUGGGCGUAAAGCGAGCGCAGGCGGUUUUUUAAGUCUGAUGUGAAAUCUUUCGGCUCAACCGAAGAAGUGCAUCGGAAACUGGGAAACUUGAGUGCAGAAGAGGACAGUGGAACUCCAUGUGUAGCGGUGAAAUGCGUAGAUAUAUGGAAGAACACCAGUGGCGAAGGCGGCUGUCUGGUCUGUAACUGACGCUGAGGCUCGAAAGUAUGGGUAGCAAACAGGAUUAGAUACCCUGGUAGUCCAUACCGUAAACGAUGAAUGCUAAGUGUUGGAGGGUUUCCGCCCUUCAGUGCUGCNAGCUAACGCAUUAAGCAUUCCGCCUGGGGAGUACGGCCGCAAGGCUGAAACUCAAAGGAAUUGACGGGGGCCCGCACAAGCGGUGGAGCAUGUGGUUUAAUUCGAAGCUACGCGAAGAACCUUACCAGGUCUUGACAUCNUAUGCAAAUCUAAGAGAUUAGACGUUCCUUCGGGGNACAUGGANUGACAGGUGGUGCAUGGUCGUCGUCAGCUCGUGUCGUGAGAUGUUGGGUUAAGUCCCGCAACGAGCGCAACCCUUGUUACUAGUUGCCAGCAUUAAGUUGGGCACUCUAGUGAGACUGCCGGUGACAAACCGGAGGAAGGUGGGGACGACGUCAGAUCAUCAUGCCCCUUAUGACCUUGGCUGAAAAACUGAGGAAAGGGGAGGUUAAU
RNAcentral lists this ribosomal RNA (1250 nucleotides) under Lactobacillus sp. CR-7AS. RNAcentral's name for it is "bacterial SSU rRNA". It matches the Rfam family "Bacterial small subunit ribosomal RNA", at positions 28 to 1254 of the family's 1533-position model. Lineage: Bacteria; Bacillati; Bacillota; Bacilli; Lactobacillales; Lactobacillaceae. The record is from RNAcentral.